GUGGGGAAUAUUGCGCAAUGGGCGAAAGCCUGACGCAGCGACGCCGCGUGGGGGAUGACGGCCUUCGGGUUGUAAACCUCUUUCAGCUCCGACGAAGCGGAAGUGACGGUAGGAGCAGAAGAAGCACCGGCCAACUACGUGCCAGCAGCCGCGGUAAUACGUAGGGUGCAAGCGUUGUCCGGAAUUAUUGGGCGUAAAGAGCUCGUAGGCGGUUUGUCGCGUCGGCUGUGAAAUCCCGGAGCUCAACUCCGGGCCUGCAGUCGAUACGGGCAGACUUGAGUGUUGCAGGGGAGACUGGAAUUCCUGGUGUAGCGGUGAAAUGCGCAGAUAUCAGGAGGAACACCGGUGGCGAAGGCGGGUCUCUGGGCAACAACUGACGCUGAGGAGCGAAAGCGUGGGGAGCGAACAGGAUUAGAUACCCUGGUAGUCCACGCCGUAAACGUUGGGCGCUAGGUGUGGGGGCCAUUCCACGGUCUCCGUGCCGCAGCUAACGCAUUAAGCGCCCCGCCUGGGGAGUACGGCCGCAAGGC
Molecule: ribosomal RNA, 530 nt
Filed under: uncultured Geodermatophilus sp.
Lineage: Bacteria; Bacillati; Actinomycetota; Actinomycetes; Geodermatophilales; Geodermatophilaceae
Description: bacterial SSU rRNA
Rfam family: Bacterial small subunit ribosomal RNA
Source: RNAcentral